RNAcentral lists this small RNA (76 nucleotides) under Flavivirga aquatica. RNAcentral describes it as "Algibacter sp. SK-16 Flavo-1 RNA". It matches the Rfam family "Flavo-1 RNA". The record is from Rfam by way of RNAcentral. Lineage: Bacteria; Pseudomonadati; Bacteroidota; Flavobacteriia; Flavobacteriales; Flavobacteriaceae.
UUUUAGCCCUGAUUGAAGCGGCAUCCUUUUUUUGAUUUUUCUUCAAACAAAGAUAUAGCGAAAAGCAGGAUUAGCU